AAACCUUCUUCAACCAGGGAAGAAGCCCAAGUGACGGUACCUGCAGAAGAAGCGCCGGCUAAUUACGUGCCAGCAGCCGCGGUAAUACGUAGGGCGCAAGCGUUGUCCGGAAUUAUUGGGCGUAAAGAGCUCGUAGGCGGUUUGUCGCGUCUGCUGUGAAAACUCGAGGCUCAACCUCGGGCUUGCAGUGGGUACGGGCAGACUAGAGUGCGGUAGGGGAGACUGGAAUUCCUGGUGUAGCGGUGGAAUGCGCAGAUAUCAGGAGGAACACCGAUGGCGAAGGCAGGUCUCUGGGCCGCAACUGACGCUGAGGAGCGAAAGCAUGGGGAGCGAACAGGAUUAGAUACCCUGGUAGUCCAUGCCGUAAACGUUGGGCACUAGGUGUGGGGCUCAUUCCACGAGUUCCGUGCCGCAGCAAACGCAUUAAGUGCCCCGCCUGGGGAGUACGGCCGCAAGGCUAAAACUCAAAGAAAUUGACGGGGGCCCGCACAAGCGGCGGAGCAUGCGGAUUAAUUCGAUGCAACGCGAAGAACCUUACCAAGGCUUGACAUACACCGGAAACUUCCAGAGAUGGUUGCCCCGCAAGGUCGGUGUACAGGUGGUGCAUGGUUGUCGUCAGCUCGUGUCGUGAGAUGUUGGGUUAAGUCCCGCAACGAGCGCAACCCUCGUCCUAUGUUGCCAGCGGGUCAUGCCGGGGACUCAUAGGAGACUGCCGGGGUCAACUCGGAGGAAGGUGGGGAUGACGUCAAAUCAUCAUGCCCCUUAUGUCUUGGGCUUCACGCAUGCUACAAUGGCCGGUACAAAGGGCUGCGAUACCGCGAGGUGGAGCGAAUCCCAAAAAGCCGGUCUCAGUUCGGAUUGGGGUCUGCAACUCGACCCCAUGAAGUCGGAGUCGCUAGUAAUCGCAGAUCAGCAACGCUGCGGUGAAUACGUUCCCGGGCCUUGUACACACCGCCCGUCAAGUCACGAAAGUCGGUAACACCCGAAGCCGGUGGCCCAACUGUUCGCAGGGGAGC
Molecule: ribosomal RNA, 1016 nt
Filed under: Cellulomonas sp.
Lineage: Bacteria; Bacillati; Actinomycetota; Actinomycetes; Micrococcales; Cellulomonadaceae
Description: bacterial SSU rRNA
Rfam family: Bacterial small subunit ribosomal RNA
Source: RNAcentral